RNAcentral lists this ribosomal RNA (476 nucleotides) under uncultured bacterium. RNAcentral's name for it is "bacterial SSU rRNA". It matches the Rfam family "Bacterial small subunit ribosomal RNA", at positions 32 to 507 of the family's 1533-position model. The record is from RNAcentral.
GACGCUGGCGGCGUGCCUAACACAUGCAAGUCGACUUGACUGAAGGAGCAAUCUGACAGUAGAGUGGCGCAAGGGUGCGUAACGCGUAAGUAACUUGCCCCAAGGUAAGGAAUAACGUCGAGAAAUCGGCGCUAAUACCUCAUAAUGCAGCGGAUCCGCAUGGAUAUGUUGUUAAAGGUUUACCGCCUUGGGAUAGGCUUGCGUCUGAUUAGCUAGUUGGUGUGGUAACGGCACACCAAGGCUACGAUCAGUAACUGGUCUGAGAGGAUGAUCAGUCACACUGGAACUGAGACACGGUCCAGACUCCUACGGGAGGCAGCAGUGAGGAAUAUUGGGCAAUGCUCGAAAGAGUGACCCAGCAACGCCGCGUGGAGGAUGAAGGUAUUCUAUAUCGUAAACUCCUGUGAGAGCAGACGAAAGACAGAUUAUUAAUCUGGAUGACUGUAUGCUCAGAGGAAGCCCCGGCUAACUACGUG